GGCGCGAUAGCAAAGAGGCCAUGCCGCGGAUUGCAAAUCCGCUGACGCCGGUUCGAAUCCGGCUCGCGCCUCCA
RNAcentral lists this transfer RNA (74 nucleotides) under Bacterioplanoides pacificum. RNAcentral's name for it is "tRNA-Cys". It matches the Rfam family "tRNA". Rfam says of the family: Transfer RNA (tRNA) molecules are approximately 80 nucleotides in length. RNAcentral also lists the same sequence under 3 other names. Lineage: Bacteria; Pseudomonadati; Pseudomonadota; Gammaproteobacteria; Oceanospirillales; Oceanospirillaceae. The record is from RNAcentral.